Molecule: ribosomal RNA, 465 nt
Filed under: uncultured bacterium
Lineage: Bacteria
Description: bacterial SSU rRNA
Rfam family: Bacterial small subunit ribosomal RNA
Source: RNAcentral
CCUACGGGAUGCAGCAGUGGGGAAUAUUGGACAAUGGGCGGAAGCCUGAUCCAGCCAUGCCGCGUGUGUGAAGAAGGCCUUUUGGUUGUAAAGCACUUUAAGCGGGGAGGAGGCUUUGCUGGUUAAUACCUAGUAAAGUGGACGUUACCCGCAGAAUAAGCACCGGCUAACUCUGUGCCAGCAGCCGCGGUAAUACAGAGGGUGCGAGCGUUAAUCGGAAUUACUGGGCGUAAAGCGCGCGUAGGCGGUUCGUUAAGUCAAAUGUGAAAUCCCCGAGCUCAACUUGGGAAUUGCAUUCGAUACUGGCGAGCUAGAGUAUGGGAGAGGAAGGUAGAAUACCAGGUGUUGCGGUGAAAUGCGUAGAGAUCUGGUGGAAUACCGAUGGCGAAGGCAGCCUUCUGGCCUAAUACUGACGCUGAGGUGCGAAAGCAUGGGGAGCAAACAGGAUUAGAUACCCCGGUAGUC